GAUUAAUCAUAGACCGAGGGGAGAGGGAAUGGAGGGAAAGAAGAAAAAAAAAACUGAGACAAACAUUUCUACCGAUCCUAAUGUUUUCUGCCGUGGACUGACUGCUGAGCUCUAUAGGCGCUGGUUUGUGGAGCAGACUGGGAGCGAGCUCAUUAAUGCAUGUGUGGAUGGAUCAGAAGAGAGACUCACUAUGUUCUCUCUUUCUUUAACAGCGGACUGAAAAAAACAUACACAAGAUGGAAGAGGGAGAUGAUAAAGGUUGUGCUGCCUUAACGGAGGCUUCUGGUUGCAAUGCUUCACUGGGCUGUAAGAAAUCACAACACUGCUGGAAAUGCACUGGGGAUUUUCAACAGCGGACUGAAAAAAACAUACACAAGAUGGAAGAGGGAGAUGAUAAAGGUUGUGCUGCCUUAACGGAGGCUUCUGGUUGCAAUGCUUCACUGGACAACAACAUAUGAUCCAAGCAACCUGUGACACAGUAAUGUGUCCCUCUGCCAGAGCAGAUCUGAUGGGCAGGACUUUCUGAGCUGAGAGUCGGCGG
This is a long non-coding RNA of Cyprinus carpio carpio, 541 nucleotides long. Lineage: Eukaryota; Metazoa; Chordata; Actinopteri; Cypriniformes; Cyprinidae. The record is from Ensembl.